UUAACAAUUCCGAUGUUGUACACAGAGAGCACCGGCUAACUCCGUGCCAGCAGCCGCGGUAAUACGGAGGGUGCGAGCGUUAAUCGGAAUUACUGGGCGUAAAGGGUGCGUAGGUGGUUGAUUAAGUUAUCUGUGAAAUUCCUGGGCUUAACCUGGGACGGUCAGAUAAUACUGGUUGACUCGAGUAUGGGAGAGGGUAGUGGAAUUUCCGGUGUAGCGGUGAAAUGCGUAGAGAUCGGAAGGAACACCAGUGGCGAAGGCGGCUACCUGGCCUAAUACUGACACUGAGGCACGAAAGCGUGGGGAGCAAACAGGAUUAGAUACCCUGGUAGUCCACGCUGUAAACGAUGUCAACUAGCUGUUGGUUAUAUGAAAAUAAUUAGUGGCGCAGCAAACGCGAUAAGUUGACAUCG
This 413-nucleotide ribosomal RNA is filed under the name uncultured Legionella sp. RNAcentral describes it as "bacterial SSU rRNA". It matches the Rfam family "Bacterial small subunit ribosomal RNA", at positions 460 to 871 of the family's 1533-position model. Lineage: Bacteria; Pseudomonadati; Pseudomonadota; Gammaproteobacteria; Legionellales; Legionellaceae. The record is from RNAcentral.